GACGAACGCUGGCGGCGUGCUUAACACAUGCAAGUCGAACGGAAAGGCCCUGCUUUUGUGGGGUGCUCGAGUGGCGAACGGGUGAGUAACACGUGAGUAACCUGCCCUUGACUUUGGGAUAACUUCAGGAAACUGGGACUAAUACCGGAUAGGAGCUCCUGCUGCAUGGUGGGGGUUGGAAAGUUUCGGCGGUUGGGGAUGGACUCGCGGCUUAGCAGCUUGUUGGUGGGGUAGUGGCUUACCAAGGCUUUGACGGGUAGCCGGCCUGAGAGGGUGACCGGCCACAUUGGGACUGAGAUACGGCCCAGACUCCUACGGGAGGCAGCAGUGGGGAAUAUUGCACAAUGGGCGGAAGCCUGAUGCAGCAACGCCGCGUGCGGGAUGACGGCCUUCGGGUUGUAAACCGCUUUCGCCUGUGACGAAGCGUGAGUGACGGUAAUGGGUAAAGAAGCACCGGCUAACUACGUG
This 468-nucleotide ribosomal RNA is filed under the name uncultured bacterium. Its description in RNAcentral is "partial 16S ribosomal RNA". It matches the Rfam family "Bacterial small subunit ribosomal RNA", at positions 28 to 507 of the family's 1533-position model. The record is from RNAcentral.